AGAAUCAACGCUGGCGGCGUGCCUAACACAUGCAAGUCGAACGAGAAAGUGGAGCAAUCCAUGAGUAAAGUGGCGCACGGGUGAGUAACACGUGACUAACCUACCCUUGAGUGGGGGAUAACCUAGAGAAAUCUGGGCUAAUACCGCAUAAUACCUUCGGGUCAAAGGAGCAAUUCGCUUAAGGAGGGGGUCGCGGCCGAUUAGUUAGUUGGCGGGGUAAUGGCCCACCAAGACUAUGAUCGGUAUCCGGCCUGAGAGGGCGCACGGACACACUGGAACUGAAACACGGUCCAGACUCCUACGGGAGGCAGCAGUGGGAAUUUUGCGCAAUGGGGGAAACCCUGACGCAGCAACGCCGCGUGGAGGAUGAAGUCCCUUGGGACGUAAACUCCUUUCGAUCGGGACGAUUAUGACGGUACCGAGAGAAGAAGCCCCGGCUAACUUCGCGCCAGCAGCCGC
RNAcentral lists this ribosomal RNA (459 nucleotides) under uncultured bacterium. RNAcentral's name for it is "SSU rRNA". It matches the Rfam family "Bacterial small subunit ribosomal RNA", at positions 26 to 518 of the family's 1533-position model. The record is from RNAcentral.